AGUAUUAAUCCCUGCUGCAGUUGUGCAUCCCCACUGACGUCAGACUCCAGUUUCUCCAGGAUCCAGUGUAUACUGAAGAUCAGUUGCUCUCCAGGAGUCUUCAAGGCACCAGGUUUGGAAGGGCUGGGGCAGCCAGCUUUGUAACCUGAGCAGCUCCCAGGUUCCAGCCAUUGACUGGGCUGUGUGGACCCACCCAGCACACUUAAGGGAUACUAGGAGAUGGAGAAAUCAGAGGGAAGAACAUCUGUUUCCCAGGUCACAGCAGAGAAUGGCAUGGAGAACCCAGGCCUGGAACUCAAGGAAAGCAGAAAUCUUGAGCAAGGCAAAAAACUAGAGGAAGUGACACAGGGGUACAGCCUGGAGGAUGGCUUGGGGCAUUCCUCUUUCUGGAGGUAAGCGUGUUCUAGAAUCCCAACCAAGGGGGAUGGGAGGGCAGGGAAGAAAAGUGACCGAGAGGCUACUCAUUCUCAGAUCGCUUAACUCACAGACAGGACCAGGAUCACUGCAUGUUACUAUGUAAAUGUGUGUGUAUUUUAUAGAAGUAAUUGAGCAUAAGCCCAUGACAUAGACA
Molecule: long non-coding RNA, 571 nt
Organism: Mastomys coucha (southern multimammate mouse)
Lineage: Eukaryota; Metazoa; Chordata; Mammalia; Rodentia; Muridae
Exons: 3
Source: RefSeq, a predicted model, not a curated record